RNAcentral lists this ribosomal RNA (512 nucleotides) under uncultured bacterium. RNAcentral describes it as "bacterial SSU rRNA". It matches the Rfam family "Bacterial small subunit ribosomal RNA", at positions 772 to 1277 of the family's 1533-position model. The record is from RNAcentral.
ACUCAAUAGAUACCCAGGUAGUCCUGGCAGUAAACGGUGCACGUUUGGUGUGGGAGGAUUCGACCCCUUCUGCGCCGGAGCUAAACGCGUUAAACGUGCCGCCUGGGGAGUACGGUCGCAAGAUUAAAACUCAAAGAAAUUGACGGGGGCCCGCACAAGCGGUGGAGUAUGUGGCUUAAUUCGAUGCAACGCGAAGAACCUUACCUGGCCUUGACAUGCAUCUCUAAGUUGGUGAAAGCCAAUGAGUCCCGAAAGGGACAAUUUGCACAGGUGCUGCAUGGCUGUCGUCAGCUCGUGUCGUGAGAUGUUGGGUUAAAGUCCCGCAACGAGCGCAACCCCUGUGAACUGUUGCCACGUCCUUGAUUGGACAGCACUCUGUUCAGACUGCCCUGUGAAACGGGGAGGAAGGUGGGGACGACGUCAAGUCAGUAUGGCCUUACGGCCAAGGCUGCACACGUACUACAAUGCCCAGUACAGAACGAUCCGAGACCGCGAGGUGGAGGAAAUCCAGU